RNAcentral lists this unclassified non-coding RNA (379 nucleotides) under plant metagenome. RNAcentral's name for it is "partial contains 5.8S ribosomal RNA, internal transcribed spacer 2, and large subunit ribosomal RNA". The stretch from base 1 to 105 matches the Rfam family "5.8S ribosomal RNA", at positions 50 to 154 of the family's 154-position model. The record is from RNAcentral.
GAAAUGCGAUAAGUAAUGUGAAUUGCAGAAUUCAGUGAAUCAUCGAAUCUUUGAACGCACCUUGCGCUCCUUGGUAUUCCUUGGAGCAUGCCUGUUUGAGUAUCAUGAAAUCUUCAAAGUAAAUCUUUUGUUAACUCAAUUGGUUUCUACUUUGGUAUUGGAGGUCUUUGCAGCUUCACACCUGCUCCUCUUUGUUCAUUAGCUGGAUCUCAGUGUUAUGCUUGGUUCCACUCGGCGUGAUAAGUUAUCUAUCGCUGAGGACACUGUAAAAGGUGGCCAAGGUAAAUUCAGAUGAACCGCUUCUAAUAGUCCAUUGACUUGGACAAUACUUUUAUGAUCUGAUCUCAAAUCAGGUAGGACUACCCGCUGAACUUAAGCA